RNAcentral lists this ribosomal RNA (354 nucleotides) under uncultured bacterium. RNAcentral's name for it is "bacterial SSU rRNA". It matches the Rfam family "Bacterial small subunit ribosomal RNA", at positions 8 to 353 of the family's 1533-position model. The record is from RNAcentral.
AGAGUUUGAUCAUGGCUCAGGAUGAACGCUAGCUACAGGCUUAACACAUGCAAGUCGAGGGGCAGCAUGGUCUUAGCUUGCUAAGGCCGAUGGCGACCGGCGCACGGGUGAGUAACACGUAUCCAACCUGCCGUCUACUCUUGGACAGCCUUCUGAAAGGAAGAUUAAUACAAGAUGGCAUCAUGAGUCCGCAUGUUCACAUGAUUAAAGGUAUUCCGGUAGACGAUGGGGAUGCGUUCCAUUAGAUAGUAGGCGGGGUAACGGCCCACCUAGUCUUCGAUGGAUAGGGGUUCUGAGAGGAAGGUCCCCCACAUUGGUACUGAGACGCGGACCAAACUCCUACGGGAGGCAGCA